Molecule: ribosomal RNA, 403 nt
Filed under: bacterium
Lineage: Bacteria
Description: partial 16S ribosomal RNA
Rfam family: Bacterial small subunit ribosomal RNA
Source: RNAcentral
UGGGGAAUAUUGCACAAUGGAGGGAACUCUGAUGCAGCGACGCCGCGUGAACGAAGAAGGCUUUCGAGUCGUAAAGUUCUUUUAUAUGGGAAGAUGAUGACGGUACCAUAAGAAAAAGCCCCGGCUAACUACGUGCCAGCAGCCGCGGUAAUACGUAGGGGGCUAGCGUUGUCCGGAAUCACUGGGCGUAAAGGGUUCGCAGGCGGAAAUGCAAGUCAGGUGUAAAAGGCAGUAGCUUAACUACUGUAAGCAUUUGAAACUGCAUAUCUUGAGAAGAGUAGAGGUAAGUGGAAUUUUUAGUGUAGCGGUGAAAUGCGUAGAUAUUAAAAAGAAUACCGGUGGCGAAGGCGGCUUACUGGGCUCAUUCUGACGCUGAGGAACGAAAGCGUGGGUAGCAAACAGG